AUUGAACGCUGGCGGCAUGCUUUACACAUGCAAGUCGAACGGCAGCGCGGGCUUCGGCCUGGCGGCGAGUGGCGAACGGGUGAGUAAUGCAUCGGAACGUGCCCAGUAGUGGGGGAUAGCCCGGCGAAAGCCGGAUUAAUACCGCAUACGACCUGAGGGUGAACGCGGGGGACCGAAAGGCCUCGCGCUCUUGGAGCGGCCGAUGUCGGAUUAGCUAGUUGGUGGGGUAAAGGCUUACCAAGGCGACGAUCCGUAGCUGGUCUGAGAGGACGACCAGCCACACUGGGACUGAGACACGGCCCAGACUCCUACGGGAGGCAGCAGUGGGGAAUUUUGGACAAUGGGGGCAACCCUGAUCCAGCCAUGCCGCGUGCGGGAAGAAGGCCUUCGGGUUGUAAACCGCUUUUGUUCGGGAAGAAAUCCUCUGGGCUAAUACCCCGGGGGGAUGACGGUACCGGAAGAAUAAGCACCGGCUAACUACGUG
RNAcentral lists this ribosomal RNA (484 nucleotides) under uncultured bacterium. RNAcentral describes it as "partial 16S ribosomal RNA". It matches the Rfam family "Bacterial small subunit ribosomal RNA", at positions 28 to 507 of the family's 1533-position model. The record is from RNAcentral.